Molecule: non-coding RNA, 352 nt
Organism: Cinara cedri
Lineage: Eukaryota; Metazoa; Arthropoda; Insecta; Hemiptera; Aphididae
Source: the annotation of a GenBank genome assembly
GCCGAUCAUAAUAUUGUAGACUUUAUAGUAAUGCCGUUUCGUUUUUCUACACAGUCCUUCGACGAAACGGUUUCUUUGUUUUUUUUUUGGUUGAGGUCGAUUAAAUCGAAAAGUACGUAACAUCAUUUAUCGCUAUAUUAUUAUUAUAGCUCUCGGUGUCCGGGACGACCGGACCUGACUUUACCCCGGAAAAACAUCACGCCGACCCUCGGUCGCGUAUAUGACACGCACACCGGCGGUAUAUUAAUGGGCUCCGCGUCCAGUCCUGCAUCCGGAUUCCGCAGCGAGAGGUAGACGCGUGCAUUUGUCCGAGAACAUUUUUAUAUUCGGUACACGGCAACUUAUAUUUAUU